UCUCCAGCACUGCUGAUUGAACUAGCAAGCGGGCAUAUCUACGCUGUUCUUCUUUUAGUUCCUUCCUUAGCAAAGCCACCUUGGCAUUAAAUUCCUCUUCCUCCUUCUCAAUUUCCAAGCAUCUUGCAUGGAGCCUUUUAUUCUCUUUAAGGAGAAGGACCAUCUCUUGAUCUUCCAAGGGACUUGUGAUAGUGGUCGCAUGCGGAUUUUGAAUAGACUCAGGAUCAGGAAGAUUUACACUUAAUCCCACCUUCUGUUUCAAAAUUUCAGGUUCUACUUGAUGAUCACAGUUUUUCCUUUUUG
This 303-nucleotide unclassified non-coding RNA is filed under the name Hevea brasiliensis (rubber tree). Lineage: Eukaryota; Viridiplantae; Streptophyta; Magnoliopsida; Malpighiales; Euphorbiaceae. The record is from RNAcentral.